GGACAAGACAAUGUGCCUCUCAUUGAGGGAAGACAAAUGGAAAACUGCUGGAGUGGUUCCAGCUCGCUAUGAGAAUACUGACCUCUCAUCCCAAUGGGGAUGAUCUUCCACAGAGUAGAAUCCCACCAGGUCUCUCCGGAAGUGUGGCCUAUGAGAAGGUGUCUAGACCCCAACCACCAUUAAGGUAGAGAAGGAGUUAAGACAGACUCAAGAAGUGGCAAAAGGUGGAUCAUGUAGACUCCUGGCAAUGACUUUGCUCCAGAGAAACCACUCCUUGACAGAAGGGGAUCAGCUGCAAAGAGAAGGAAGCAUCUUUCUGAGAACCCUGAGGAAAGAGCUCAGACCUUAACCGGAAGAAAGCUGAGGAAAGGACCUGUGUAUAGCAUCAAACAAGAAAUCCUCCUUCACACACGUGAAACAAAGGAGCUAUUUUAAAAGUCUUCAUUUUAACAAACUCCCUUAUUUCCAUACAGUCCUCUGACUCUUCCCACCACUCCCAUGUUUGUAUGGAGCCUUUUUACAGGGAAUACUCUUAAUUGAAAGUCUGCUAAAUGGCAUCAACUGUCCUCAGCGGGGGUGGAAAAAACUCAGUCAACAUAGUAUUUUUCAGAUGCUGCAGAAAUCCUAUGACAAUUCUUUCUUCUGAGAGAUUGCUAAGAGCAUGAUACUUCUGGGAGUCUGGAUCUGAACCAAUAAGGCAGAAUGUCUCUAGCAUCUUUCACAAAGGCACUGCAACGUUUCAGUCUGGUUCUUGGGGUUCCCUAUCUAAGGUGAAUUGGACUAUACUGUGUGUAUAACGGCUGAAAGCUAUAUCAAUGUACAUGUUUGAUAGACUAAAAAUAUUUUAACAAUUGAAUUCCUUCUUACAAAGCCUCUCUGAUUGGUCUCAUAAUUAUAUCCAUAUUUAAC
Molecule: long non-coding RNA, 909 nt
Organism: Mauremys reevesii (Reeves's turtle)
Lineage: Eukaryota; Metazoa; Chordata; Testudines; Geoemydidae
Exons: 3
Source: RefSeq, a predicted model, not a curated record